Long non-coding RNA from Ictalurus punctatus (channel catfish), 1034 nucleotides. The record is from Ensembl. NCBI's taxonomy places the organism in Eukaryota, Metazoa, Chordata, Actinopteri, Siluriformes, Ictaluridae.
CACACACACACACACAUGGGGAACAUGCACAAGGUUAAAAGAUUUCUUUAAUAAUCAAACACACCUACAUGCUCACAGGAUAACAACCCCACCCAUCCAAACACACACACACACACACACACACACACACACACACACAAGGAAAUAAAGAGAAAAGGGGCAGAGCUUGGGAUCAGAACUUCAGGAGGUUCAGUGCUGCCUUUCAGAUGUCCUUCAGCAGUCCGUAACGAGAGUGCAGAACAAUCAUGAGUAGGAGAUUCGGCAGGACCACAUCGAAUCUGAACGGAAAUCAGAAUCAGAGGAAAGUGACUUUGAAAGUGAUUUGUUGCGCAGCUUUUUUCAUCCUCAUCGCCGUCGUCCUCAUCGUCGUCAUCAUCGCGACCCAUAAUCACUGGAUCUGACGACGAAGACGAAGACGAGACGAGCUUGCGGAUUUGAUUUCUCCUCGAGACGUGUCUUCAGACGUCGCACGCUCCCGCUCUUGAACACGCAUAAACAGCCGUGCGAUCGAGCUGCUUCCUGUGAAACACUAUUAGCGCAAAUGCUAACGACGAGCUAGGGACAAAGCUAGCACACGGUGUAGUGCGAACUCAUUUUAUUCUCAAUUUUUUCUUUUCUUCGUGAUUGAGACAUCAAGUCAUUCAUUUAGCUCAUGAUGCUACGGCGCACGCGACUGACAAAAAACGAUGAGGUUCGAGAUCUCCGCGCUGUCACGUUUCUCUCAGGAGCCAACACACGUGCAACUGAAGGGUCUUAGCAGCGAAACAAACAAUUACACUUGACAAUGUUCUCAAUGUUAUUUUAAAUAUCUGACGUUCAUGCUAUGCUUUUUUUAAACUGCAAGUGUUUAGCCUGGAAGUUGAUUUUAUCCGUUUGUUUUGCUGUGUCUUAAUUUAAACUGGUUAAUUGAAGUAAGAUUCUGAACAAAAGUGGCCUUUUUCUCAUGUUAAUGUCUUGAUGAAAUAAUAAUGAAAUUGUGCUUGAGAGUUUGUUCACACUGAAAUAACAUUUUAUUUCAAACAUGAAAAAACUGG